CCUACGGGCGGCUGCAGUGAGGAAUAUUGGUCAAUGGACGAGAGUCUGAACCAGCUAAGUAGCGUGAAGGAUGACUGCCCUCUGGGUUGUAAACUCCUUUUAUAUGGGAAUAAAAUGUUCCACGUGUGGGUUUUUGUAUGUACCAUAUGAAUAAGGAUCGGCUAACUCCGUGCCAGCAGCCCCGGUAAUACGGAGGGUCCGAGCGUUAUCCGGAUUUAUUUGGGUUAAAGGGAGCGUAGGUGGAUUGUUAAGUCAGUUGUGAAAGUUUGUGGCUCAACCGUAGAAUUGCAGUUGAAACUGGCAGUCUUGAGUACAGUAGAGGUGGGCGGAAUUCGUGGUGUAGCGGUGAAAUGCGUAGAUAUGACGAAGAACUCCGAUUGCGAAGGCAGCUCACUGGACUGCAACUGACACUGAGGCUCGAAAGUGUGGGUAUCAAACAGGAUUAGAUACCCGAGUAGUC
Molecule: ribosomal RNA, 460 nt
Filed under: uncultured bacterium
Lineage: Bacteria
Description: partial 16S ribosomal RNA
Rfam family: Bacterial small subunit ribosomal RNA
Source: RNAcentral